AGGACGAACGCUGGCGGCGUGCUUAACACAUGCAAGUCGAACGGAAAGGCCCUUUCGGGGGUGCUCGAGUGGCGAACGGGUGAGUAACACGUGGGUGAUCUGCCCUGCACUUUGGGAUAAGCCUGGGAAACUGGGUCUAAUACCGAAUACACCUUGCUGGCUGCAUGGCUGGUGGGGGAAAGCUUUUGCGGUGUGGGAUGGGCCCGCGGCCUAUCAGCUUGUUGGUGGGGUGAUGGCCUACCAAGGCGACGACGGGUAGCCGGCCUGAGAGGGUGUCCGGCCACACUGGGACUGAGAUACGGCCCAGACUCCUACGGGAGGCAGCAGUGGGGAAUAUUGCACAAUGGGCGCAAGCCUGAUGCAGCGACGCCGCGUGAGGGAUGACGGCCUUCGGGUUGUAAACCGUCUUUCAGUAUCGACGAAGCGCAAGUGACGGUAGGUACAGAAGAAGCACCGGCCAACUACGUGCCAGCAGCCGCGGU
Molecule: ribosomal RNA, 482 nt
Filed under: uncultured bacterium
Lineage: Bacteria
Description: SSU rRNA
Rfam family: Bacterial small subunit ribosomal RNA
Source: RNAcentral